ACCAAGGCCGGAGAGGAGAACCCGCAGCUCCCCCAGCUGCUCCCCCAGUGCUGCUCGGGGGAGGUUGUGUCGGUUCAGCCCCAGCCUCUCACAAACCCAUUUCUCCCCACAAAACCCAGCCCUGCCAAGCUCAGCAGCUCAGCCCGGCUUUCAACACGCCCAUCACCACCCAGGACACGUUUAAACCAGUUACGGGAAUGUCGUGUCCUUCUCCGAGAGGGACAAGCGCUUGAGAAGCACACAGAACCUCCAGCUCCCGCUGACUCCCAAUUACUCCGCUCAGAAAUUGCCCUGUGAUUUUUUUUUUAAUUACUUUUUUGAUUCGUUAAUGUCCCAUUAAAAGAUCCCGCUAAGCGGAGCUGGCAUGGAGCUGGGCAGACGCAAGGCUGGAAGGAACCGCCACUCUCCCUCCCGUUAUGGCCUUGCCACCAACACCAUUUUCUGAGAGCGGAAAGCAAAGGCUCAGGCUGGCUCACCCCAGGGAAAAGAAUAAAACACAUGGAACAACCCAAAGCUGAUGGAGCAGCCGAUACGAGGGAAUUUGUUUGCAUGUGUUUCAUGCAGCCCCAAGACACGGGUCAAAACAAGCUCCUUGUUACCAUGAGGCACCUGGUAGAGGUGGCCUCAGCACAUGGUCCCCAAGGCCAGGGACAUGGGGACUUGCUGAGACACUCUUGCCAUGGUGUGACACCAAAACCAGGUACCCACAGGUCACAGCUCCCAUCGCAGGUGUCCCCAAAUGCAGCAGCAUCGCGGGCGCUGGGGGGUCAGCUCCCUACUGCCCCACAUCAAGUGUUGGCCAACACCAAGACCCAAGGGCAGAACCACGAACCGCCGACACCAAACCCCUCCGGCUGCUCCCAAUUUCCAAGACUACGUGACAACAAGGAAAAUAGAACAUUUUCUGAACACAGCCUGAAUAGGAACAAGUCCGCCCAAAUUCACCGUGAACACAGAUAAAAGCCCAUCGGGUCGAGUGUUUCCAAUGCUGGAAAAUAACCCGCGGGCUCGGGGCUGUUUCAGGCACGCUGAGCGCAGGCUGAGGCUGGGAGAGCAGCUAUUAAGGAAAGUGGAAGUGGGUUUCAAUUUUCAAAAGCCGAUGACAACAGCUUUUAGAUCAAAAGAAGCCUUUUCACAGAAGGAUUCUGCUCGGGCAAAAUUAUUAAUCCAUCGGGCUGAAAAACGCUGCAGUAAAAAUCAUCUUGUUUGGGACAAGUUCUCAACUUGGAAUUUGCUGGGAGGACGUGGGGGUUUGAACAUCCAUUUCUCCUUUAAUUAAAAAAGCCUCUGAGAAACUUGAAGUUUUGCUGCAGAUGGGAUUUCAUUAUUAUUAUGAUGAUGUUUUUGGAGCUGAAGGAUGGGCAAGGACGGACCGAUGGAAAGUGCCUCAAGGCAGAAGACACGGAGCCAACAUGGGCAAGAGGAUCUGCUGGUUUGAAUCCUUUAAUUUCUGGAGGUUGGGGGACAAAUUCCUGGUUCCACUAUCCCAGGAGAGCAACCCCAAACCCCUCACCCCCUCAGCAUCACCUCGCUCCCUUUCCCCACAGCAAAACCCCACAAUCUCCCUCCAACCUCCCCCACCAGCUUUGCAAACCCACCACCCAAAAACCACAUCGAACCCACCAAAAAACCCCACCAAAGGGCUACGGAAUGGGCCGAGCAACCCAGCUCACACUUCUACAUGGUUUUCAAACCUAACGCCCCUAUUUCUGCAUCCCAGGUGAGAAAGGACGGAGAUUUAUGACCAUCGCUCUCCUCCUGGCCGGCGCUUGGCCGUCCCUUGCGCCAGCUCCCUACCUGCUGCUCGCUUUUUGAUUUUUUGUCCUUUUUUGCACAGAAAACGAGUUGCCCUGGAGCUGCGUCUCCAUGGAAACGCGGGUUUUUCAGACACUCAAUGAAAAACGCUGGCACGGAGAGGCUGGUGCAGGAAUACUGAUUCAGCCCCAGCGUCUGUAACACUGACUGCAUUUUAAUCCCGCUCCGCUACCCGGCGAGCUAAAAAUACCCCGCGCCCCGUCGCCUCCUGAACUCGCGUAAACAGCUUAAAGCAACACGGCGGUGCAGGAGCAGAAAUCCCAUGAAUCAGCUAAAAAAUAUAUAUAACAAAUAAAAAGGGAUGGGGAAGGUAAUGGUGGGGUCUAUGUCCCUGUCAUAGCUUGGGGAGCGCCAGCGUGGUGGCGAAGGGACAACCAGGAUUUUGCAGCACCUCGGGGUUUUGUUUUACCUCUCCGAGAUGCCCUUUUCCAGGUGAAGAAGCAAGCAAACAAGGUUUUCCAGG
Columba livia (rock pigeon) is the source of this 2278-nucleotide long non-coding RNA. RefSeq lists it as uncharacterized. NCBI's taxonomy places the organism in Eukaryota, Metazoa, Chordata, Aves, Columbiformes, Columbidae. The record is from RefSeq and is a predicted model, not a curated record. The transcript has 3 exons.